AGAGUUUGAUCAUGGCUCAGGACGAACGCUGGCGGCGUGCUUAACACAUGCAAGUCGAGCGGAAAGGCCCUUCGGGGUACUCGAGCGGCGAACGGGUGAGUAACACGUGAGUAAUCUGCCCUUAGCUCUGGGAUAGCUCCGGGAAACCGGGAUUAAUACCGGAUACGACCACCUUAGACAUCUUUUGUGGUGGAAAGAAUUUCGGCUAGGGAUGAGCUCGCGGCCUAUCAGCUUGUUGGUGGGGUAACGGCCUACCAAGGCGACGACGGGUAGCCGGCCUGAGAGGGCGACCGGCCACACUGGGACUGAGACACGGCCCAGACUCCUACGGGAGGCAGCAGUGGGGAAUAUUGCGCAAUGGGCGAAAGCCUGACGCAGCGACGCCGCGUGGGGGAUGAAGGCCUUCGGGUUGUAAACCCCUUUCAGCAGGGACGAAGCGAAAGUGACGGUACCUGCAGAAGAAGCGCCGGCUAACUACGUGCCAGCAGCCGCGGUAACACGUAGGGCGCAAGCGUUGUCCGGAAUUAUUGGGCGUAAAGAGCUCGUAGGCGGUCUGUUGCGUCCGCUGUGAAAACUCGGGGCUUAACCCCGAGCCUGCAGUGGAUACGGGCAGACUAGAGGUAGGUAGGGGAGAAUGGAAUUCCCGGUGUAGCGGUGAAAUGCGCAGAUAUCGGGAGGAACACCGGUGGCGAAGGCGGUUCUCUGGGCCUUACCUGACGCUGAGGAGCGAAAGCGUGGGGAGCGAACAGGAUUAGAUACCCCUGUAGUCC
Molecule: ribosomal RNA, 770 nt
Filed under: uncultured bacterium
Lineage: Bacteria
Description: bacterial SSU rRNA
Rfam family: Bacterial small subunit ribosomal RNA
Source: RNAcentral